UACGUAGGGGGCAAGCGUUGUCCGGAUUUAUUGGGCGUAAAGAGCGUGUAGGCGGCUAGGUAGGUCCGUUGUGAAAACUCGAGCUCAACCUCGAGACGCCGGUGGAAACCAUCUAGCUAGAGUCCGGAAGAGGAGAGUGGAAUUCCUGGUGUAGCGGUGAAAUGCGCAGAUAUCAGGAAGAACACCCGUGGCGAAGGCGGCUCUCUGGGACGUGACUGACGCUGAGACGCGAAAGCGUGGGAGCGAACAGG
Molecule: ribosomal RNA, 251 nt
Filed under: uncultured bacterium
Lineage: Bacteria
Description: partial 16S ribosomal RNA
Rfam family: Bacterial small subunit ribosomal RNA
Source: RNAcentral